GCGUUAGUACAGCUAAGAGCUUAUUCGAGAUUGUUGUUUUUUCUUUUAAAAAUACUCGUAACUCGGAGGAGGAAAGAAGCUCAGGAUGACCCAGUGUCAAUUGAUCAAGAAGUUGUGAAGUGGACUACGAAAAAAGUUGUUUGAUGGCAUCUGGAGGCGCUCAUCUCAUUGGGAAUUCACCAAGGCCUAAAAAGAAAUAGCAGAAGCAAAAUUGAAAACAAGCCAUUGUUAUGUUAUACGGAGGUUCCACGAGAAAAAGGCAAUCUACAUGGAGGGCGAACGCCGGACGGCCGAGAUGAGGAUAUAAGAAUUCAUCCUUUCUCACCCCGGGGGGCGAAAAGGGGCGAGCGGGGGUGAAAGACGGACGACGCCAUUCCAAAAACCCAUUAUACCAGCACGGAGCUGUUUUCUAUCUCGAAGCCCGCGCCAACCUCUUUCCCCCCACUUCCCCCCAUUCCCCCCGGGAUUCUCAACUUUGUUUAUGAAAAUUACCCAUUAAAGUGGCUAUGGAAGUAACGCUGUUGCCACUCCAGAAAUUAAUAAGGAAAUUGAUAUUGGAUUAUUUUUUGGAGAAUUUUUCGUUUUUAGGCUGUUGUAAUGUUUCUGCCUGUGAUAUGACUAAUCGAAAGUUGUAUGUUUCUUUACUAAAGAAAAUUCUAAUAGUUCUACCGUUCAUAUUUUU
Molecule: long non-coding RNA, 682 nt
Organism: Ostrinia furnacalis (Asian corn borer)
Lineage: Eukaryota; Metazoa; Arthropoda; Insecta; Lepidoptera; Crambidae
Exons: 4
Source: RefSeq, a predicted model, not a curated record